This 490-nucleotide ribosomal RNA is filed under the name uncultured bacterium. RNAcentral describes it as "partial 16S ribosomal RNA". It matches the Rfam family "Bacterial small subunit ribosomal RNA", at positions 29 to 507 of the family's 1533-position model. The record is from RNAcentral.
AGUGAACGCUGGCGGUAGGCCUAACACAUGCAAGUCGAACGGCAGCACAGGAGAGCUUGCUCUCUGGGUGGCGAGUGGCGGACGGGUGAGGAAUACAUCGGAAUCUGCCCAGUCGUGGGGGAUAACGUAGGGAAACUUACGCUAAUACCGCAUACGACCUUCGGGUGAAAGAGGGGGAUCGCAAGACCUCUCGCGAUUGGAUGAGCCGAUGUCGGAUUAGCUAGUUGGCGGGGUAAUGGCCCACCAAGGCGACGAUCCGUAGCUGGUCUGAGAGGAUGAUCAGCCACACUGGAACUGGGACACGGUCCAGACUCCUACGGGAGGCAGCAGUGGGGAAUAUUGGACAAUGGGCGCAAGCCUGAUCCAGCCAUACCGCGUGGGUGAAGAAGGCCUUCGGGUUGUAAAGCCCUUUUGUUGGGAAAGAAAUCUUUCAGGCUAAUACCCUGGGAGGAUGACGGUACCCAAAGAAUAAGCACCGGCUAACUUCGUG